GUGGCUGUGGCUCAAUGGUAGAGUGCUUACCUGGUAUGUAUGAGGCCAUGGGUUCAGUCCCCAGCACAACA
This 71-nucleotide transfer RNA is filed under the name Neotoma lepida (desert woodrat). It matches the Rfam family "tRNA". From Rfam's summary of the family: Transfer RNA (tRNA) molecules are approximately 80 nucleotides in length. Lineage: Eukaryota; Metazoa; Chordata; Mammalia; Rodentia; Cricetidae. The record is from Rfam by way of RNAcentral.